Molecule: ribosomal RNA, 465 nt
Filed under: uncultured bacterium
Lineage: Bacteria
Description: partial 16S ribosomal RNA
Rfam family: Bacterial small subunit ribosomal RNA
Source: RNAcentral
AUGAACGCUGGCGGCGUGCUUAACACAUGCAAGUCGAACGAUGAAGCCCAGCUUGCUGGGUGGAUUAGUGGCGAACGGGUGAGUAACACGUGAGUAACCUGCCCUUGACUCUGGGAUAAGCCUGGGAAACUGGGUCUAAUACUGGAUAUGACUUCUCAUCGCAUGGUGGGGGGUGGAAAGAUUUAUUGGUCUUGGAUGGACUCGCGGCCUAUCAGCUUUUUGGUGAGGUAAUGGCUCACCAAGGCGACGACGGGUAGCCGGCCUGAGAGGGUGACCGGCCACACUGGGACUGAGACACGGCCCAGACUCCUACGGGAGGCAGCAGUGGGGAAUAUUGCACAAUGGGCGCAAGCCUGAUGCAGCGACGCCGCGUGAGGGAUGACGGCCUUCGGGUUGUAAACCUCUUUCAGUAGGGAAGAAGCGAGAGUGACGGUACCUGCAGAAGAAGCGCCGGCUAACUACGUG